GGGUAUAUGAUGACAAACCAAUGCCAUGAAGAGAGGUGAUGACGUCAAAUUCAUGCUCAGAAGGGAUACGCUGAGGCCC
This is a small nucleolar RNA of Mesocricetus auratus (golden hamster), 79 nucleotides long. Its record names the gene SNORD115. It matches the Rfam family "Small nucleolar RNA SNORD115". From Rfam's summary of the family: HBII-52 is a member of the C/D class of snoRNAs, which contain the C (UGAUGA) and D (CUGA) box motifs. HBII-52 is encoded in a tandemly repeated array with another C/D snoRNA, HBII-85, in the Prader-Willi syndrome (PWS) region of chromosome 15. The record is from Ensembl. NCBI's taxonomy places the organism in Eukaryota, Metazoa, Chordata, Mammalia, Rodentia, Cricetidae.